RNAcentral lists this ribosomal RNA (324 nucleotides) under uncultured eukaryote. RNAcentral describes it as "partial 18S ribosomal RNA". It matches the Rfam family "Eukaryotic small subunit ribosomal RNA", at positions 1470 to 1796 of the family's 1831-position model. The record is from RNAcentral.
CCCUUAGAUGUUCUGGGCUGCACGCGCGCUACACUGAAGCUAUCAACACGUUUUCCCUCCCUGAGAAGGGCGGGUAACCUUUUGAAUCAGCUUCGUGGUAGGGAUCGGGGCUUGCAAUUGUUCCCCGUGAACCAGGAAUUCCUAGUAGACGCGAGUCAUAAGCUCGCAUCGAUUAAGUCCCUGCCCUUUGUAUACACCGCCCAUCGCUACUACCGAUUGAACGUUUUAGUGAGGCAUUUGGACCGACGCAUCUCAGUUUAACCGCUGGUUUGUGUUGGAAAGACUUCCAAACUUGAGCGUUUAGAGGAAGUAAAAGUCGUAACA